This 329-nucleotide ribosomal RNA is filed under the name uncultured eukaryote. Its description in RNAcentral is "partial 18S ribosomal RNA". It matches the Rfam family "Eukaryotic small subunit ribosomal RNA", at positions 1470 to 1796 of the family's 1831-position model. The record is from RNAcentral.
CCCUUAGAUGUUCUGGGCCGCACGCGCGCUACACUGACGAUGGCAACGAGUUUUUCCUUCGCCGAAAGGUGUGGGUAAUCUUUUGAAACAUCGUCGUGCUGGGGAUAGAUCAUUGCAAUUUUUGAUCUUGAACGAGGAAUUCCUAGUAAGCGCGAGUCAUCAGCUCGCGUUGAUUACGUCCCUGCCCUUUGUACACACCGCCCGUAGCUACUACCGAUUGAAUGGUUUAGUGAGGACUCCUGAUUGGCGCCGCCGCCCCGGCAACGGAGCAGCGGACUGCCGAAAAGUUGUUCAAACUUGAUCAUUUAGAGGAAGUAAAAGUCGUAACA